Molecule: small nucleolar RNA, 125 nt
Organism: Sorex araneus (European shrew)
Lineage: Eukaryota; Metazoa; Chordata; Mammalia; Eulipotyphla; Soricidae
Product: small nucleolar RNA ACA64
Exons: 1
Source: RefSeq, a predicted model, not a curated record
GUGGGUUGAGAAUCACCUGUUGCUCUGACUUUGGCCGUGGGUAGAUUUGGUGCCCAGAGCCAGCUGGACCUUACCACCCCACCCACUCUAUAGUAGGCAGAGGUGAAACCCAGGCCAUGGCCUGC